UGAGGGAGGAGGGGGAAGGCAAGAACAAGAGAGGAAGUGCCUCUCGGUUGUGGGCAUGCCCAGUAUAGUGACAGGAGGGAGACGAGGUGACUGAGCAGACUUUUGUUGCUGCUCACUCUCCCUGCUGUCCCUUAUACUCUCUCACUCACUCACUCUCUCUCUCUUUCUCUGUUAUUUUUUUCCUCUUCUCACCAAGUAGUGAUAGUGUGGUGAGAUUUUUUUGUUUUUGCUAUGGAAGAGCAAAAAGGAGGUGCAGCUUUCAGCUAGUGCAAAAUUCAGCUGGGGGGAAGUAAAGAAAAUAAAAAAAGAAGAAGAGGAGGAGGAGGAGGAGGAGAAAAAAAGGCAAGAGAGAACGACCUCACCCCCAUCUCACUCUGCUCGCUCUCAUUCCCUCCUCUGCCAACGACUUCUACCUCAGAAACAGCGGUGGGACCAACUUCAAAAGGCAGUCUGGAGGGAGCUGGAGUGUGAAAUCUGAGAAGAGAAGCUAGAUGAGAGGCUGACCGGCGCUGUGUUUGCUAUGCUGUCCAGGGCAAACCAACGCAGCA
Long non-coding RNA from Sphaeramia orbicularis (orbiculate cardinalfish), 548 nucleotides. RefSeq lists it as uncharacterized. The record is from RefSeq and is a predicted model, not a curated record. NCBI's taxonomy places the organism in Eukaryota, Metazoa, Chordata, Actinopteri, Kurtiformes, Apogonidae. The transcript has 3 exons.